UACGUAGGGGGCAAGCGUUGUCCGGAUUUAUUGGGCGUAAAGAGCGUGUAGGCGGCUAUACAGGUCCGUUGUGAAAACUGGAGGCUUAACCUCCAGACGUCGAUGGAAACCGUAUGGCUAGAGUCCGGAAGAGGAGAGUGGAAUUCCUGGUGUAGCGGUGAAAUGCGCAGAUAUCAGGAAGAACACCCGUGGCGAAGGCGGCUCUCUGGGACGGUACUGACGCUGAGACGCGAAAGCGUGGGGAGCGAACAGG
This 253-nucleotide ribosomal RNA is filed under the name uncultured bacterium. RNAcentral describes it as "partial 16S ribosomal RNA". It matches the Rfam family "Bacterial small subunit ribosomal RNA", at positions 524 to 776 of the family's 1533-position model. RNAcentral also lists the same sequence under 1 other name. The record is from RNAcentral.